CAAAGGACAUAAUUAUAAGAAUAGGUAAAAAGGUAGUUAGAUAAGCAAGAGAAGUUUGAUAAAAUUGUGUGUAGAGGUCAAAUUCCUGCACAUAAUAGAAAUUUAGGUUAAACUAAAAUAUUGAAUCUACGAAAGUUUUAAGGGAAACCGGGAUUGGAUACCCCAUUAUUUUAAACAUUAAAUAAAUAUUGAAAUUUACCUGAGUACUACGAAUUUAUACAUUUAAAACUCAAAGAGCUUGGCGGUGUUUUAGACCUUUCAGGGGAAUUUGUCUCGUAAUCGAUAAUCCGCGUUAUACCUAACCUUCACUAGAAAAAUCAGUUUGUAUACCGUCGUUGUCAGUUAACUUCCAAUGAAAUAAAGAGUUGGCGAAAAAUAUUAAAUUUUAACUUCAGAUCAAGGUGCAACUAAUGUGAAGGCGAGGAUGAAUUACAAUUAAGAUUCAUAAUUAUGAAUAAAGUAAUGAAACUUAUUUUUGAAGGUGGACUUGAAAGUAAAAUGAAAUAUAUAAACAUAUUGAAUUUGGCUCUUAAAUGUGUACAAAU
Molecule: ribosomal RNA, 545 nt
Filed under: Hespererato scabriuscula
Lineage: Eukaryota; Metazoa; Mollusca; Gastropoda; Littorinimorpha; Eratoidae
Description: partial 12S ribosomal RNA
Source: RNAcentral